Daphnia magna is the source of this 1119-nucleotide long non-coding RNA. RefSeq lists it as uncharacterized. The transcript is spliced from 2 exons. NCBI's taxonomy places the organism in Eukaryota, Metazoa, Arthropoda, Branchiopoda, Diplostraca, Daphniidae. The record is from RefSeq and is a predicted model, not a curated record.
AUCAAGUGCUCUAUUGAAAGAAAUCACGAAUUUUCUUCAAUUCUAGCACGGUCAAGAGCCAUUGUGACUUCCUUCCAUCAAAGUGCUAAAGCCACGUCUAAGUUAGCAUCCUUAUGCAAAAACCGAACGAGUAAGGUUUUGGCUCAAGACGUGGUCACUAGAUGGAACUCGACGCUGACAAUGAUUGCCAGUUUAGUCGAGCUUAAAGAGUAUGUGCAAGAUUCUCUCUCAUCACCUGCCAUUGAUCGUUCAGAUUUGGACGUACAGGAACAUGAGUGGGAAACUCUUGUUGCAGCCAUGGAAUUGUUCCAGCCUUUCGAUGAAGUGACAACUGACUUAUCAUCCCAGCAUUACCCGUCGAUUUCGAAAGUUAUUCCUUCGAUUCGAUUGCUAAUGCAUUUCUUGAAUCAGAGGAAGGAAAAGAUCUUCGUUUCAUGUCUGGCCUAGUUCAACGAAGACCUUCUGUGUUUCCUGAACAUUCGUUUCAACAUUACACUGAAGUAUGCAACGCCUCAUAUCAUUGCAACUUAUUUGGAUCCGAGAUUAAAGAAGCUCACGCUACACUUUCCAAAAGAUGUUUCGGGUGAUGCUGAGAAGCUUACGAAGGUCGACAUGGAUUUUACUACCAAAAAAACGUUCCUCCGAUAGAAAUACCCGUACCUGCCAGUUGAAAGACGACGAAAAAUUCGAUUUGGAAUGAUCAUGAUUAUGCCACGACUGUUUCCAACGCUAAAAGGAAAGGCCAAGGACCGAGCAAUGAAGCAAACAAAACCAUUUGUAUCGCAGAGUAUAAUGAUUUUCCUCUAUUACCCCGUUCCGCUGACCCAUUGGGAUUUUGGAAAACUAAACGAGACCAAGGUGAGCUGCUUCCUCUUUCCAAAGAUGCAGUUAAAUUUAAAUGUAUUCCUUCUACAUCUGUGCUAUCUGAACAGCUAUUUUCUAGUGCUUCAGAACUAAUUUCAGGUAGUAGAAAUUGUUUACAUACCGAUAAUGUCAACAUGCUUUAAUUUCUAACAAAAAUGCAUAGGAAUGAAUGUUGUCUCAUUUAAUUUGUGUUCAUUAUUAUUAUUCCUUUGUUUAUAUGUUGUUUAUUGAAUAAAAUACCACUUUUGCCUUCAA